UACGUAGGGUGCAAGCGUUAAUCGGAAUACUGGGCGUAAAGCGUGCGCAGGCGGUUUUGUAAGUCUGACGUGAAAUCCCCGGGCUUAACCUGGGAAUUGCGUUGGAGACUGCAAGGCUGGAGUCUGGCAGAGGGGGGGUAGAAUUCCACGUGUAGCAGUGAAAUGCGUAGAGAUGUGGAGGAACACCGAUGGCGAAGGCAGCCCCCUGGGUCAAGACUGACGC
Molecule: ribosomal RNA, 223 nt
Filed under: uncultured bacterium
Lineage: Bacteria
Description: partial 16S ribosomal RNA
Rfam family: Bacterial small subunit ribosomal RNA
Source: RNAcentral